This 269-nucleotide ribosomal RNA is filed under the name uncultured bacterium. RNAcentral describes it as "partial 16S ribosomal RNA". It matches the Rfam family "Bacterial small subunit ribosomal RNA", at positions 57 to 305 of the family's 1533-position model. The record is from RNAcentral.
GCAAGUCGAACGGGAACUGGCAGGUAGCAAUAUCUUCCAGUUCUAGUGGCGAAAGGGUGCGUAACACGUGGGUAAUUUGCCUUAAAGUUUGGGAUAACUUGCCGAAAGGUGAGCUAAUACCGGAUGUGGUUUCUCGGCGGCAUCACCGAGAAUCUAAAGCUGGGGAUCUUCGGACCUGGCGCUUUAAGAUAAGCCCGCGGCCUAUCAGCUUGUUGGUGAGGUAAAAGCUCACCAAGGCAAUGACGGGUAGCUGGUCUGAGAGGACGAUC